This 1143-nucleotide ribosomal RNA is filed under the name Triticum aestivum (bread wheat). RNAcentral describes it as "partial small subunit ribosomal RNA". Lineage: Eukaryota; Viridiplantae; Streptophyta; Magnoliopsida; Poales; Poaceae. The record is from RNAcentral.
AUGGCGGUGGCGUCGACUCCGCCUCUGCAGCUUGUCGUAGCCGCGCUUCUUGCGCUGUCCCUGUCCACUACAGCGUCCUCGUCGCCUGCGCCGGCGAACCGGAGCAGCUGCUACAAGCGUCUAUUCAGCUUCGGCGACUCUCUGACCGACACCGGCAACUACAUCAUCCACUACUCCAACGCGUCAGGGCCCGUCCUAGCGCUGCCAUACGGCGAGACCUUCUUCGGCCACCCCACCGGCCGAUGGUCCGACGGCCGCCUCAUCAUCGAUUUCAUCGUGGAGAGGCUGGGGUUCCAGUACUGGCCGGCGUACCUGAAGGGGGCAGCCGGGAAGUCGCCGGCGGAGGAAUUCCGGUACGGCGCCAAUUUUGCGGUUGCGGCCGCCACGGCGCUGAGCCAGGAUUUCUUCCUGAAAAAGAACAUGGACCUGCUUACCCCGAGCCCGAUCCCCCCUUACUCCCUCGGCGUCCAGAUCGACUUGUUCAAGAAAGUGCUCGCCAUGAUUGCCUCCACGGACCAAGAGAGGAAUGAGGUGAUGGCGAGCUCGCUGUUCCUGGUGGGGGAGAUCGGCCUCAACGACUACAACCACCCCUUCUUGCAGAACAAGACCAUGGAAUGGGUCAGGCCCCUCGUGCCCCAGGUCAUCAGGUCCAUCGUUCUGUCCAUCGAGGCUCUGAUCGAGCUGGGCGCCAAGACCAUGUACGUGCCGGGCAUCUUCCCGCUGGGGUGUACCCCGCUGUACCUCUCCCUCUUCCCCGGCGACGACCGCGACCCUGCCACGGGCUGCAUCCGGGGGCUCAACGACCUCAUCCUCGUCCACAACCACAUGCUGGAAGCCAAGCUCGAGGAGCUCCGCCGCGACCACCCCAGCGUGUCCAUCACCUACGUCAACUCCUACGACAACGUCCUCGGCCUCAUCACAGCGCCCACACAAAACGGCUUCGACAAGGAAAUGGUGCUGGAGGCGUGCUACCCCGUCUUCAUUUCCGGGUCGGCGGCGGUGCCGUGCCUGGACCCCUCGAGGCACGUGAAUUUCGACGGCCUGCACAUGACGGAGGCGGCGUACAAGCUCAUGGCCCGCGGGAUGCUCGACGGCCCGUUCGCCGCGCCGCCUAUCAUGUCCACAUGCAACCACAGCUGCUAG